UUCUUAAAUCUGGGCACUGUUUUGUACAGAAGCUUUCAUCUAUAGAGAAGCACAUCUGUUUCAAGUACAUACUAUUAAAUCUUAUGAGCAAGUUUGCUGCAAUGAUGUUCCACAUAUAUGGUUUGCAACUCCAUCAAUUAAAUUUGGUGUCAACUUUUUGUACAAUUCUGCGACUUAUAGUUUGACCCAGUUAUUAUGUGAUGAAUUUAGAGGGAUGGAGGUAAGGUUUGGCCAAGUUAAUUUGAGAAACUAAGAUGCCGAAUAGGUUCUUACUAUAUCACAGAUCAAUGGUCCUAGUUCUUGCAAUCGUACUUUUUGCAAUUGACAUUUGACAUAAAAUGUACAACCUCAAUGAGUUCUUUUUUUAACAGAUUGAUGAGUCUAUUUGGUGCAGGCUAAUCUGGAAAAGAAGCCAAUUCAAGCUGUAAUUGAGUAACAAAGGAGGUCAUGUUUUUCAUAUGUAGAUGACGAACUUAUGUGUUAUUAGAUGUGCUCUUCCUACUUCGUUG
RNAcentral lists this long non-coding RNA (509 nucleotides) under Triticum aestivum (bread wheat). RNAcentral's name for it is "long non-coding RNA (TAES_LNC019739)". Lineage: Eukaryota; Viridiplantae; Streptophyta; Magnoliopsida; Poales; Poaceae. The record is from RNAcentral.